GAUGAAGAACGUAGCGAAAUGCGAUAAGUAAUGUGAAUUGCAGAAUUCAGUGAAUCAUCGAAUCUUUGAACGCACAUUGCGCCCCUUGGUAUUCCGGGGGGCAUGCCUGUUCGAGCGUCAUUAUCACCCCUCAAGCUCAGCUUGGUGUUGGGGCCUGCCGUCAAGGCAGCCCUUAAAAUCAGUGGCGGCGCCAUCUGGCUCUAAGCGUAGUAAUACUUCUCGCUACAGGGUCACGGUGGUGUCUUGCCAGAACCCCUCAUUUUUUAUGAUUGACCUCGGAUCAGGUAGGGAUACCCGCUGAACUUAAGCAUAUCAAUAAGCGGAGGA
RNAcentral lists this unclassified non-coding RNA (327 nucleotides) under soil metagenome. RNAcentral's name for it is "partial contains 5.8S ribosomal RNA, internal transcribed spacer 2, and large subunit ribosomal RNA". The stretch from base 1 to 120 matches the Rfam family "5.8S ribosomal RNA", at positions 35 to 154 of the family's 154-position model. The record is from RNAcentral.